CGCGUAGGUGGCUUGUCAGGUCUGAUGUGAAAACCUGGGGCUCAACUCCAGGCCUGCAUCGGAAACCGGCUUGCUAGAGUCUGGGAGAGGAGAGUGGAAUUCCUGGUGUAGCGGUGAAAUGCGUAGAUAUCAGGAGGAACACCGGUAGCGAAGGCGGCUCUCUGGAACAGUACUGACACUGAGGCGCGAAAGCUAGGGGAGCGAACA
RNAcentral lists this ribosomal RNA (207 nucleotides) under uncultured bacterium. Its description in RNAcentral is "partial 16S ribosomal RNA". It matches the Rfam family "Bacterial small subunit ribosomal RNA", at positions 568 to 774 of the family's 1533-position model. The record is from RNAcentral.